This 532-nucleotide ribosomal RNA is filed under the name Nakaseomyces glabratus. Its description in RNAcentral is "LSU rRNA". It matches the Rfam family "Eukaryotic large subunit ribosomal RNA", at positions 61 to 590 of the family's 3401-position model. Lineage: Eukaryota; Fungi; Ascomycota; Saccharomycetes; Saccharomycetales; Saccharomycetaceae. The record is from RNAcentral.
GAAACCAACUGGGAUUGCCUUAGUAACGGCGAGUGAAGCGGCAAAAGCUCAAAUUUGAAAUCUGGUACCUUUGGUGCCCGAGUUGUAAUUUGGAGAGUACCACUUUGGGACUGUACUUUGCCUAUGUUCCUUGGAACAGGACGUCAUGGAGGGUGAGAAUCCCGUGUGGCGAGGGUGUCAGUUCUUUGUAAAGGGUGCUCGAAGAGUCGAGUUGUUUGGGAAUGCAGCUCUAAGUGGGUGGUAAAUUCCAUCUAAAGCUAAAUACAGGCGAGAGACCGAUAGCGAACAAGUACAGUGAUGGAAAGAUGAAAAGAACUUUGAAAAGAGAGUGAAAAAGUACGUGAAAUUGUUGAAAGGGAAGGGCAUUUGAUCAGACAUGGUGUUUUGCGCCCCUUGCCUCUCGUGGGCUUGGGACUCUCGCAGCUCACUGGGCCAGCAUCGGUUUUGGCGGCCGGAAAAAACCUAGGGAAUGUGGCUCUGCGCCUCGGUGUAGAGUGUUAUAGCCCUGGGGAAUACGGCCAGCCGGGACCGA